Long non-coding RNA from Triticum aestivum (bread wheat), 396 nucleotides. RefSeq lists it as uncharacterized. NCBI's taxonomy places the organism in Eukaryota, Viridiplantae, Streptophyta, Magnoliopsida, Poales, Poaceae. The record is from RefSeq and is a predicted model, not a curated record. The transcript is spliced from 3 exons.
UCAUCUUCCAAAACAGAAAACCCAUCUCCAUCUCUUUCAUCUCGCCGGCGACGGCGUGGCAAGAUGGCGCCGCCCGAUGACAGCAGCGAGGCCCCAGAUCGUGGAACAUAUACGGCAACCCCUCCAUCUGAACAUCCUCUGCCCACAUCUCCAAUCAUGCCCGACGACGACACCGAGGCACCAGAUCGUGGAACAUAUAGAACAGCCCCUGGACCGGAACCUCCUCUGUCCACAGCUCCUCCACUGAUGUUGACAAUUGCCAAGGAACACAAUUCCGCCGAGGACGAGCAGCACACCAAGGGACAAUCAGGAUUUGCAAGAUGAAAAUAAUGUUCCAAGUGUUGGGAUGAGCUUUCAAUCCGAGGAAGAGGCAUACCAGUUCUACAAUUCUUAUGC